RNAcentral lists this ribosomal RNA (711 nucleotides) under uncultured bacterium. RNAcentral describes it as "bacterial SSU rRNA". It matches the Rfam family "Bacterial small subunit ribosomal RNA", at positions 61 to 779 of the family's 1533-position model. The record is from RNAcentral.
GUCGAACGGACUUAAUCGAUUCUUUUAGAUUCGAAGCGGUUAGUGGCGGACUCGUGAGUAACACGUAAGCAACCUGCCUGUUAGAGGGGAAUAACAGUGAGAAAUCACUGCUAAAACCGCAUAUGCCGUGAACAUCGCAUGAUGAAAACGGGAAAAGAGCAAUCUGCUAAUAAAUGGGCUUGCGUCUGAUUAGCUAGUUGGUGUGGUAAAGGCAUACCAAGGCAACGAUCAGUAGCCGGACUGAGAGGUUGAACGGCCACAUUGGGACUGAGAUACGGCCCAGACUCCUACGGGAGGCAGCAGUCGGGAAUAUUGCGCAAUGGAGGAAACUCUGACGCAGUGACGCCGCGUAUGGGAAGAAGGUUUUCGGAUUGUAAACCAUUUUAGACAAGGAAGAAACAAGACAGUACUUGUAGAAUAAGCUCCGGCUAACUACGUGCCAGCAGCCGCGGUAAUACGUAGGGAGCAAGCGUUAUCCGGAUUUAUUGGGUGUAAAGGGUGCGUAGACGGGAAGGUAAGUUAGUUGUGAAAUCCCUCGGCUCAACUGAGGAACUGCGACUAAAACUGCUUUUCUUGAGUACUGGAGAGGAAAGUGGAAUUCCUAGUGUAGCGGUGAAAUGCGUAGAUAUUAGGAGGAACACCAGUGGCGAAGGCGACUUUCUGGACAGUAACUGACGUUGAGGCACGAAAGUGUGGGGAGCAAACAGGAUU